AUUGAACGCUGGCGGCAUGCCUAACACAUGCAAGUCGAGCGGAGCUGCGGACGGGUGAGUAAUGCCUAGGAAGCUGCCCGGCAGUGGGGGAUAACGUCCGGAAACGGGCGCUAAUACCGCAGACUUCCAGAUGAGCCUAUGGGGGAUUAGCUCGUUGGUGGGGUAAAGGCCUACCAAGGCGACGAUCCGUAACUGGUCUGAGAGGAUGAUCAGUCACACUGGAACUGAGACACGGUCCAGACUCCUACGGGAGGCAGCAGUGGGGAAUAUUGGACAAUGGGCGAAAGCCUGAUCCAGCCAUGCCGCGUGUGUGAAGAAGGUCUUCGGAUUGUAAAGCACUUUAAGUUGGGAGGCGUUACCGACAGAAUAAGCACCGGCUAACUUCGUGCCAGCAGCCGCGGUAAUUC
RNAcentral lists this ribosomal RNA (407 nucleotides) under uncultured bacterium. Its description in RNAcentral is "partial 16S ribosomal RNA". It matches the Rfam family "Bacterial small subunit ribosomal RNA", at positions 30 to 526 of the family's 1533-position model. The record is from RNAcentral.